Molecule: long non-coding RNA, 254 nt
Filed under: Ananas comosus (pineapple)
Lineage: Eukaryota; Viridiplantae; Streptophyta; Magnoliopsida; Poales; Bromeliaceae
Description: long non-coding RNA (ACOM_LNC033338)
Source: RNAcentral
AUUCCGACUAUAAUUGCUAUAAUAUGAUGAGUUUGAUGCCGUUUCGAUUUUGUUCGCAGCGUGAAUGCGAUCGAGCCUUGGAUCAUCGUUAGUUGACUUAUGAGAGCUCUUGGAGACUUAUUUUGAGGUAUUACACUAGUCCCAAAACAGGGAUUUAAGGGAUUACUCAGUACUAAGUGUAAUUUAGGCCGAAAUCGGAUAUUCCGGUCGUUAUUUUGACGCGGUGUUAAUGUUUGUUUUCAGCAGGGUUGGAG